UUCUUUAUCACCGAGUGCUUGCACUCACCGGUAAAGGGUUGAGUGGCGAACGGGUGAGUAACACGUGGGCAACCUGCCCAAAAGAGGGGGAUAACACUUGGAAACAGGUGCUAAUACCGCAUAACCAUAGUUACCGCAUGGUAGCUAUGUAAAAGGUGGCUAUGCUACCGCUUUUGGAUGGGCCCGCGGCGCAUUAGCUAGUUGGUGGGGUAAAGGCUUACCAAGGCAAUGAUGCGUAGCCGAACUGAGAGGUUGAUCGGCCACAUUGGGACUGAGACACGGCCCAAACUCCUACGGGAGGCAGCAGUAGGGAAUCUUCCACAAUGGGCGAAAGCCUGAUGGAGCAACGCCGCGUGGGUGAAGAAGGUCUUCGGAUCGUAAAACCCUGUUGUUAGAGAAGAAAGUGCGUGAGAGUAACUGUUCACGUUUCGACGGUAUCUAACCAGAAAGCCACGGCUAACUACGUGCCAGCAGCCGCGGUAAUACGUAGGUGGCAAGCGUUAUCCGGAUUUAUUGGGCGUAAAGGGAACGCAGGCGGUCUUUUAAGUCUGAUGUGAAAGCCUUCGGCUUAACCGGAGUAGUGCAUUGGAAACUGGGAGACUUGAGUGCAGAAGAGGAGAGUGGAACUCCAUGUGUAGCGGUGAAAUGCGUAGAUAUAUGGAAGAACACCAGUGGCGAAAGCGGCUCUCUGGUCUGUAACUGACGCUGAGGUUCGAAAGCGUGGGUAGCAAACAGGAUUAGAUACCCUGGUAGUCCACGCCGUAAACG
This 768-nucleotide ribosomal RNA is filed under the name uncultured bacterium. RNAcentral describes it as "bacterial SSU rRNA". It matches the Rfam family "Bacterial small subunit ribosomal RNA", at positions 71 to 808 of the family's 1533-position model. The record is from RNAcentral.